Molecule: ribosomal RNA, 496 nt
Filed under: uncultured bacterium
Lineage: Bacteria
Description: partial 16S ribosomal RNA
Rfam family: Bacterial small subunit ribosomal RNA
Source: RNAcentral
AUGCACGCUGGCGGCGUGCCUAAUCCAUGCAAGUCGCGCGAACAGACGAGGAGCUUGCUCCUCUGACGUUAGCGGCGGACGGGUGAGUAACACGUGGAUAACCUACCUAUAAGACUGGGAUAACUUCGGGAAACCGGAGCUAAUACCGGAUAAUAUAUUGAACCGCAUGGUUCAAUAGUGAAAGACGGUUUUGUUGUCACUUAUAGAUGGAUCCGCGCCGCAUUAGCUAGUUGGUAAGGUAACGGCUUACCAAGGCGACGAUGCGUAGCCGACCUGAGAGGGUGAUCGGCCACACUGGAACUGAGACACGGUCCAGACUCCUACGGGAGGCAGCAGUAGGGAAUCUUCCGCAAUGGGCGAAAGCCUGACGGAGCAACGCCGCGUGAGUGAUGAAGGUCUUCGGAUCGUAAAACUCUGUUAUUAGGGAAGAACAAAUGUGUAAGUAACUAUGCACGUCUUGACGGUACCUAAUCAGAAAGCCACGGCUAACUACGUG